AACCUCCCCAAAAUGAGGUUGGGAGGUGGUAAAAGAAUCUUGAUUUAAAACGUAGGAAUUAGUUUAACUGAAGGCGUUCGACUGAGUCUAGGUACUUGGGUCCUGGAACAAGCUAUGAUACCAUGUCAACCUAUGGCAUUAGCAUCAGUUUAACUGAAGGCACUGCAGUGCGACAAUUGCAUUAUACGUAUCACAAGAAAGAAGCUAUUUUCGAUAAAUAUGGACAACCUAUUCUCUGGUUAGUUGAAAU
Rhodamnia argentea is the source of this 250-nucleotide long non-coding RNA. RefSeq lists it as uncharacterized. NCBI's taxonomy places the organism in Eukaryota, Viridiplantae, Streptophyta, Magnoliopsida, Myrtales, Myrtaceae. The transcript is spliced from 2 exons. The record is from RefSeq and is a predicted model, not a curated record.